RNAcentral lists this ribosomal RNA (468 nucleotides) under uncultured bacterium. RNAcentral describes it as "partial 16S ribosomal RNA". It matches the Rfam family "Bacterial small subunit ribosomal RNA", at positions 28 to 507 of the family's 1533-position model. The record is from RNAcentral.
GACGAACGCUGGCGGCGUGCUUAACACAUGCAAGUCGAACGGAAAGGCCCUGCUUUUGUGGGGUGCUCGAGUGGCGAACGGGUGAGUAACACGUGAGUAACCUGCCCUUGACUUUCGGAUAACUUCAGGAAACUGGGGCUAAUACCGGAUCGGAGCUCCUGCUGCAUGGUGGGGGUUGGAAAGUUUCGGCGGUUGGGGAUGGACUCGCGGCUUAUCAGCUUGUUGGUGGGGUAGUGGCUUACCAAGGCUUUGACGGGUAGCCGGCCUGAGAGGGUGACCGGCCACAAUGGGACUGAGAUACGGACCAGAGUCAUACGGGAGGCAGCAGUGGGGAAUAUUGCACAAUGGGCGGAAGCCAGAUGCAGCAACGCCGAGUGCGGGAUGACGGCCUUCGGGUUGUAAACCGCUUUCGCCUGUGACGAAGCGGGAGUGACGGUAAUGGGUAAAGAAGCACCGGCUAACUACGUG